GAUGAAGAACGCAGUGAAAUGCGAUAAGUAAUGUGAAUUGCAGAAUUCAGUGAAUCAUCGAGUCUUUGAACGCACAUUGCGCCCCCUGGUAUUCCGGGGGGCAUGCCUGUCCGAGCGUCAUUGCUGCCCUCAAGCACGGCUUGUGUGUUGGGCCCCCGUCCCCGGUUUCCCCCGGGGACGGGCCCGAAAGGCAGCGGCGGCACCGCGUCCGGUCCUCGAGCGUAUGGGGCUUUGUCUCCCGCUCUGUAGGCCCGGCCGGCGCCAGCCGACACCCAACUUUAUUUCUAAGGUUGACCUCGGAUCAGGUAGGGAUACCCGCUGAACUUAAGCAUAUCAAUAAGCGGAGGA
Molecule: unclassified non-coding RNA, 348 nt
Filed under: soil metagenome
Description: partial contains 5.8S ribosomal RNA, internal transcribed spacer 2, and large subunit ribosomal RNA
Rfam family: 5.8S ribosomal RNA (bases 1-120)
Source: RNAcentral